AACAUCUUCUCAGCUUGUUUCACUGACCUAGAAAGCCAAGCUCCUGAUGAAGGAAGAGGACUUAACUCUAAGCGUACCAGAAGGGCUUGUCAGAUACAGAUGAGGGUCUGGGGGCGGGGGGAGGCAGGGCUGGCACCUGGAGGACACCCACCUGUGCCCUUGCCAGGUGCAGACAAGGCUCAGUGAGCACAUGGCCUCGGGAGCAGCACCCUCUCACAACCGGUAUCCCUCCCUCCCCUGGAGCACACACCUUCUCCUCAGCAACUACAACUGCUAACCACAGCUGUGGGACCAGGCUUCUUUAAAAUGAAAGUGUGGGACCAGAUGGCCUCUACAGUCCUUUCUACUUUUGAAGGAAAUUUGCCCCAGAUGUUGGUCCAUAAAUGGAGAGCUUUCAUCAGCCCGGAUGAAAGGGUGUUAGUAAUUCACAGAUUUCCCCAGAAGCAAGAGCCAAAAGGAGAAGUUCCAGCCAGUUUGUCUCCAUCAAUAAACCAAAGGCUUACCAAUCAAUUAAAGCCCCUCCCCUCCACGGGCAGGAAAAUUUACAACAUGCAAAACAUUUCAUUUUCACUC
Molecule: long non-coding RNA, 573 nt
Organism: Bos taurus (domestic cattle)
Lineage: Eukaryota; Metazoa; Chordata; Mammalia; Artiodactyla; Bovidae
Source: Ensembl